Molecule: ribosomal RNA, 830 nt
Filed under: uncultured bacterium
Lineage: Bacteria
Description: bacterial SSU rRNA
Rfam family: Bacterial small subunit ribosomal RNA
Source: RNAcentral
CAGGAUGAACGCUAGCUACAGGCUUAACACAUGCAAGUCGAGGGGCAGCAUCAUCAAAGCUUGCUUUGAUGGAUGGCGACCGGCGCACGGGUGAGUAACACGUAUCCAACCUGCCGACAACACUGGGAUAGCCUUUCGAAAGAAAGAUUAAUACCGGAUGGCAUAAUUAUUCCGCAUGGGAUAAUUAUUAAAGAAUUUCGGUUGUCGAUGGGGAUGCGUUCCAUUAGGCAGUUGGCGGGGUAACGGCCCACCAAACCUACGAUGGAUAGGGGUUCUGAGAGGAAGGUCCCCCACAUUGGAGCUGAGACACGGUCCAAACUCCUACGGGAGGCAGCAGUGAGGAAUAUUGGUCAAUGGACGAGAGUCUGAACCAGCCAAGUAGCGUGAAGGAUGACUGCCCUAUGGGUUGUAAACUUCUUUUAUACGGGAAUAAAGUGAGCCACGUGUGGCUUUUUGUAUGUACCGUAUGAAUAAGGAUCGGCUAACUCCGUGCCAGCAGCCGCGGUAAUACGGAGGAUUCGAGCGUUAUCCGGAUUUAUUGGGUUUAAAGGGAGCGUAGGCGGGUUGUUAAGUCAGUUGUGAAAGUUUGCGGCUCAACCGUAAAAUUGCAGUUGAUACUGGCGACCUUGAGUGCAACAGAGGUAGGCGGAAUUCGUGGUGUAGCGGUGAAAUGCUUAGAUAUCACGAAGAACUCCGAUUGCGAAGGCAGCUUACUGGAUUGUAACUGACGCUGAUGCUCGAAAGUGUGGGUAUCAAACAGGAUUAGAUACCCUGGUAGUCCACACAGUAAACGAUGAAUACUCGCUGUUGGCGAUAUACAGUCAGCGGCC